This 3340-nucleotide long non-coding RNA is filed under the name Panax ginseng (ginseng). RNAcentral's name for it is "long non-coding RNA (PGIN_LNC007031)". The record is from RNAcentral. Lineage: Eukaryota; Viridiplantae; Streptophyta; Magnoliopsida; Apiales; Araliaceae.
UCAAAGGCUAAAUAUAAUGGCUUAAGUAUUUGUGAUUAUAUAUUAGGGAUAACCCUAAUUGUUAAAUUAGAAAUCCUAAUGUUUUGUAUAAAACCCUAAGGGAUUAAAAGUUAUGUGUGUAAUGAAUAUGAAUAUUAUGUGUUUGUUUGUUUAUUAUAUAAACAAAUAAAAUAAACUAAUGUAAUCCUAAUUAUAUAUUAAGAAUGAAUGAUUGAAUAACUUAAGAGUUAUGAGUUGGGGGAAAUAAUAGUAUUUAGAUAUAUACUAAUUCUAAGAGAUUUAUUUUAUAUAUCUCGAUUAAUUAAUUUUAUAACCUCAUUAUAGCAAGUCUAAUUGGGUUAAGGAAAUAAAUGUGCAUGAGUAAGAAUUUGUGUUUUAAAUGAGAAGAGAAAACCCUAAUUAAAUUAUUUGGGUUGGAUAAGAAUUUAAGGUAUUGGACUAUGUAUAUUUUAUAGCCCAAGUGUUGGCCCAAUGAAAUUGAUUAGAGGCCCAAGCAAUACAUUAAUUGAGUGGCCCAACUUUUAGCCCAAGUGGGAGGGAUAUGUUGGACAAUUAGUAAAUCAAUUAAGCAUUAAAGGAAAGCCCAAAAGAUUAUAAGUGAUGGCCCAAUUUUGAGCCCAAUUGAAGGAAGGGCAUGAUGGACAUUUGGUAUUAUUAAGAGUGUUGGACUAUGAUUGAUUUACAUGGCCCAAAGAAUUAAAUUCUUUAUGUCCAAUAGAUUAAUUUUGCAAGCCCAACUUAAAGUCCAAAGGGAUUAAAUAUGGUGGCCCAAACAUUAUUUAAAAAAGCCCAAAAUUUGAUCCAAGUAAGGAGGGGCAUUUUAGUCUUUGGAGACACUAGAUAUUCAUUAAAAAGGAAGCAAGACUUGGUGAAAUAAUGGGCCACUUGGCCGAAUUUUUGUGGGAGAAAAGGAGAGGAAGUGGUGGGUUACACAUCACCAUUAUAAUCACCACAUGUUCCAUAAGAUUUUUCAUAACUUAGCUAGGUGUCAUCCAUUUUAAGGAGCCACUUUGCUUUCAAUCUCCCACACAUGUAUGCAAUGAUUACUAAGAGAGAGAAUGAGUGGAGAAUGUAGAGAAGAAAGGCACAUGGCCGGUUGAGUAUGAGAGAAAAAGAGAGUGGGUUGGAUAAUUGAUAAAAAAAAAAAUCUAUCUCAUUUCUCUUUCAUCUCUUUUAUUCUUCCAAGUUAGCAAAGAACUAAAGAUAGAGCGAGAGAGAGAGGGUGGCCAUUUCGGCAGCUCCAAGAGAAGGGGGAGAGGGGAUUUUAACUUUCAUAAACCCAAGACCCUCAUCACAUCUUUGAAGGAGAGAAAGAAAAGCAAAGGUAUAAAAAUACUUUUCCUAAGUUUUUCUCUAUUUUAGUUUAUGGAUUUGAUUUAGGGGUUUUUGAUUUGGUAGUUCAAACCCUAAGAUCUAUGUGAUUUAUAUGAUUUCAAGUAUGGAUCUACCCAUAAUGGGUUUUGAUUUGGUUUGAAUCAAAAAGAAAAGAAAAAUAAUUUUUCUAGUUUUGAAAACCCUAACUUUUAGGUGUUUUGAAUGUUUACCGUUUCUGAUCUAGAGAUUCUUUUCUCGAUCCGUCUAAGAGUAGUGCUAGAUAUUUGUGUUUACUAGUUAACCCAAGUGGUAGAACUCAAAAAUCACGUUUCUAAAACUCGUGGUGUUGAUUUAUGUGAAAACAGUCCCAUUUCUAGGAACUGUUUUGGAUCAGUCCGUAGCAGGGGCAUUUUCGUACCCUUUUUGUGCUUUAUAAAUUCUGGAAAAUUUUGGAGUGUUAAUAUCAGUAGAUAUGCAGGUUGUGUAAAAAUUUGAGAAUUUUUGGCCUUACGGUUUGAGAGAUAUGGAUUUUACGGUGAAGGACCCCAAAACUGUUUUUGGCCAAAAAGUUGCUGCCCAGAUUUUUACGAGGGCUGUUUUGGCCACUUAAACUGUGAAAUAAAUUCCGGCCUUUUGGGAAAUGAAAAAAUAUGGUAUUAAGUACCUCAUGUCCAAAAAUGAGCUAAUUCCGACUUAAAAUGACCGAGUUAUGACCAUUUCAAUUUUUAUGAUUUUCUGACGAAAACGGCUAUAACCGGAGUUCUACAACUCCGAUUGCCACGAAAUUUAAACUGGAGUGUCACGUUAACAUGUGUAAGAUUGUGUCAGAAGACGGAAAUUUCUGGAGUUAAGCACAAGGUAGCUAAUUUCUUAAGGAAUUAACUAGAAAUGAUUUUUUUGAAAAAUACUAAAGAAACUUGGAAAAUUAUGGAAAAAUAAUUUUUGUGUAUGAAAUAUAUGUAUAUGUGUUUGACCAAAGGAUAGAAAAAUAAUAAGUUGAUUUGGUAUUUUUCGUGAAAAAGAAUAGUGAUUUCGGGAUACUGAAAUAAAAUCCGUCUUACUGAAAUGGUAUUUCGGUUUACUAAGAUGUUAUCUAAUUUACUAGGAUAACAUAUAAAAAUGAAUAACUUAUAAGUACAAGUUAUGAUGUGAUUAAAAGAAUAUCAAAGUAUAAUAAUAAUAUUAAGACUUAAACCUAAUGUCUAAUACUUAACUAUAUGUUAUGACUAACCGAAAGAUCUAUUAUAGGUUUUAUAUGCUGUAUAGACUGAUAGGAUUAUGUGUUAUGUGUUAUGUGUUUAGGUUAUUCUAUAACAGUAUUAUACUGUGAUGAUAUUAUUCUAAUAUUGGAGAUCUGUAUUAUUAAUAUUAGGUCUUCAGACGAAGCUUAUUAUAUUGCGUUACGGUAAUCAACGGUUCAGGCAAGUUUGUUAUUACUUAACUCUAUUAAGAGUAGUUUCAUUCAGAUAUGCUUAUGGUUAAUCAUUGCUGAUUGUCAUGGAUAAUUGUACUCUAUACAUCUUGCAUGUAUUCGUCAGGUAUGAAAGGCUGAUCACCUUCAUUAUCAGUUGGUCCAGAUAUAUUAUUGUUCAUGUUCAAUACUUGUUCAGUCAAAAUUUUGUUCAUGCUAAUUCACAAAUACAUUGUGAAGGAUAGCCAGUUUAUUAUUCAAACUCUUUCAAUCAUGAUAUAUCUUUACAUUGUUUUUAAACUUGCUGGGCAACUUUCAUGCUCACCCUUGCUAUAUCAUGAUAAAACAUUGCAGAUAAGGCGAAUACAGCCAGUUACAGGAAAAGGAAAAUGCCAAGUUCAGCUUGGGAUAGAAUGUGCAGCUAAUUUUUAAAAGUAUGGUUGAAGAAUAGUUUUGUCAUGUGUUAGAUAGUUUAUGAUUGUGUAUUAGUUAAGGUUACUCUAUUUUGGGGAAAUAGUGUAUAAAGUUUAAUGUAUAAACAAUUUAUGUUUAUAUCUUCCGCAAACAGUUAUAGAAUUAGCGAACCGGAUCCGCGGCGAUUCGGGGGCGCUACAA